This 639-nucleotide ribosomal RNA is filed under the name uncultured Bacilli bacterium. Its description in RNAcentral is "bacterial SSU rRNA". It matches the Rfam family "Bacterial small subunit ribosomal RNA", at positions 82 to 707 of the family's 1533-position model. Lineage: Bacteria; Bacillati; Bacillota; Bacilli. The record is from RNAcentral.
CGGAAAAAGAGGAGUGGCGAACGGGUGAGUAACACGUGGGUAACCUGCCCAUCAGAAGGGGAUAACACUUGGAAACAGGUGCUAAUACCGUAUAACAAUCAAAACCGCAUGGUUUUGAUUUGAAAGGCGCUUUCGGGUGUCGCUGAUGGAUGGACCCGCGGUGCAUUAGCUAGUUGGUGAGGUAACGGCUCACCAAGGCCACGAUGCAUAGCCGACCUGAGAGGGUGAUCGGCCACAUUGGGACUGAGACACGGCCUAAACUCCUACGGGAGGCAGCAGUAGGGAAUCUUCGGCAAUGGACGAAAGUCUGACCGAGCAACGCCGCGUGAGUGAAGAAGGUUUUCGGAUCGUGAAACUCUGUUGUUAGAGAAGAACAAGGAUGAGAGUAACUGUUCAUCCCUUGACGGUAUCUAACCAGAAAGCCACGGCUAACUACGUGCCAGCAGCCGCGGUAAUACGUAGGUGGCAAGCGUUGUCCGGAUUUAUUGGGCGUAAAGCGAGCGCAGGCGGUUUCUUAAGUCUGAUGUGAAAGCCCCCGGCUCAACCGGGGAGGGUCAUUGGAAACUGGGAGACUUGAGUGCAGAAGAGGAGAGUGGAAUUCCAUGUGUAGCGGUGAAAUGCGUAGAUAUAUGGAGGAAC